AGAGUUUGAUUCUGGCUCAGGAUGAACGCUAGCGGCAGGCCUAAUACAUGCAAGUCGAGGGGCAGCAGGGGUAGCAAUACUCGCUGGCGACCGGCGCACGGGUGCGUGACACGUAUGUAACUUUCCUUCAACUGGAAGAUAGCCCGAAGAAAUUCGGAUUAAUAUUCCAUAGUUAUAUGAAAUGGCAUCAUUUUAUAUUUAAAGCUCAGGCGGUUGAAGAUGGGCAUGCGUUCGAUUAGCUAGUUGGUGAGGUAAUGGCUCACCAAGGCUACGAUCGAUAGGGGAUCUGAGAGGAUUAACCCCCACACUGGUACUGAGACACGGACCAGACUCCUACGGGAGGCAGCAGUAAGGAAUAUUGGACAAUGGAGGCAACUCUGAUCCAGCCAUGCCGCGUGAAGGAUGAAGGUCCUAUGGAUUGUAAACUUCUUUUGAACGGGAGAAAACCUUCGGUCGUGUACCGAAGCUGAUAGUACCGUUAGAAUAAGGGUCGGCUAACUUCGUGCCAGCAGCCGCGGUAAUACGAAGGACCCGAGCGUUAUCCGGAUUUAUUGGGUUUAAAGGGUGCGUAGGCGGAAUGGUAAGUCAGUGGUGAAAUCUUGUGGCUUAACUGCAAAACUGCCAUUGAUACUGCCAAUCUUGAGUACAUUUGAUGUGGGCGGAAUGUGCCAUGUAGUGGUGAAAUACUUAGAUAUGGCACAGAACACCGAUCGCGAAGGCAGCUCACAAAACUGUUACUGACGCUGAGGCACGAAAGCGUUGGGGAUCAAACAGGAUUAGAUACCCUGGUAGUCCACGCCUUAAACUAUGAUUACUCGAUGUGUGCGAUACACAGUACGCGUCUAAGCGGAAGCGUUAAGUAAUCCACCUGGGGAGUACGGUCGCAAGAUUGAAACUCAAAGAAAUUGACGGGGGCCCGCACAAGCGGAGGAGCAUGUGGUUUAAUUCGAUGAUACGCGAGGAACCUUACCUGGGCUUGAAAGUUAGUGAAUGCUGUGGAAACAUGGCAGGCCGCAAGGACACGAAACUAGGUGCUGCAUGGCUGUCGUCAGCUCGUGCCGUGAGGUGUUGGGUUAAGUCCCGCAACGAGCGCAACCCCUAUCUUUAGUUGCCAGCGAGUAAUGUCGGGGACUCUAAAGAAACUGCCCGUGCAAACGGUGAGGAAGGUGGGGAUGACGUCAAGUCAGCACGGCCCUUACGUCCAGGGCUACACACGUGCUACAAUGGCGAGUACAAAGGGCAGCUACAUGAUGACAUGAUGCUAAUCUCUAAAACUCGUCUCAGUUCGGAUUGAAGUCUGCAAUUCGACUUCAUGAAGCUGGAUUCGCUAGUAAUCGAAUAUCAGCAAUGAUUCGGUGAAUACGUUCCCGGGCCUUGUACACACCGCCCGUCAAACAAUGGAAGCUGAGGGUACUUAAAGUCGAUAACCGCAAGGAGUCGCCUAGGGUAAAAUCGGUAACUGGUGUUAAGUCGAAACAAGGUA
RNAcentral lists this ribosomal RNA (1483 nucleotides) under metagenome. RNAcentral's name for it is "bacterial SSU rRNA". It matches the Rfam family "Bacterial small subunit ribosomal RNA". The record is from RNAcentral.